RNAcentral lists this ribosomal RNA (1947 nucleotides) under Triticum aestivum (bread wheat). RNAcentral describes it as "partial small subunit ribosomal RNA". Lineage: Eukaryota; Viridiplantae; Streptophyta; Magnoliopsida; Poales; Poaceae. The record is from RNAcentral.
AUGAAGAGGAACGGUGCCAUUCUGGACCUUUUUCGAAAACAUGAAGAGAAAGCGAGGAAGAUUGCUACUGAACAUCACACUGAAGUUAUUGAAAAUGUGCGGUGUCCUAAUUCCCCACCUCCAAUCCAUUCCGAUACGGACAUGGAUACAGAUACUGAGAUCGAUGUUGAAAUUGAAGAUGCAACACCAAGUCUUCCAUCACCCCAACAGCCAAGUGCACAUGUCUUUUCAGGUGAUCCAGGGAAAAGAACUCCUAUUUUAGAGUAUGCUUUUAAUGAUCAAGAUAGUGUUCGAAGAAGAUACAUUGCAAAAACUGCAUGCCGACCAUAUGCACAUGCUUUUCAAGUCAGGAAAAUCUAUGGUAAAAAUCGACACUUUAGUUUUGUUUGGUUUGAAAAGUACAGUUGGCUAGAAUAUAGUGUCUCAAAGGAAGCAGCAUAUUGCUUUGUGUGCUAUUUGUUCAAAGGGAAAACUAAUGGGGGGCCUAGGGGUGAUGCCUUUGUUAAAACUGGUUGGAGAAAUUGGAACAAACCUGAUGCACUGGACAAACAUAUGGGCGGUAUUGGUAGCAUUCACAACCAAGCUCAAGAGAAGUACAAUUUAUUUGUGACGCCUCAAACGUCAAUUUGUAAUACCAUGGUGAGGGUGUCUAAACAUGAUCUGCGUCUUUACAAGGCUAGGCUAACUUAUUCACUAAGAUGCUUGAGGUUUCUUUUGAACCAAGGAUUGGCAUUUCGUGGACAUGAUGAGAGUGAAGAAUCUAGCAAUAGGGGGAACUUUCUUGAACUUCUAAAAUGGCUUGCAGAAAAUGAUGAAGAAGUUGAUAAGAUUGUUUUGCACAAUGCUCCUGGAAACUGCAUCUUGACUAGUCCAACGAUACAAAAACAAAUUAUUGAAUGUUGUGCUGUGCUAACUACAAAACAAAUUAUUGAAGAUCUUGGUGAUGAGCACUAUGCGAUCCUAGCUGAUGAGUCUAGUGAUGCAUCUCAUAAAGAGCAACUUGCUAUUUGCAUACGUUAUGUUGAUAAAGUUGGAAAGGGGUGUGAGAGGUUUCUUGGAGUUGUUCAUGUUGCCAACACAACUUCCUUGUCACUUAAAGCUGCAAUUGAAUCUUUGCUUACCGAUCAUCAUUUGACUCUUACUCAAAUCCGUGGGCAAGGAUAUGACGGGGCUAGCAACAUGAAAGGAGAGAUUAAAGGGUUGAAAACAUUGAUCAUGAAAGACUCGCCCUCUGCUUAUUACAUUCAUUGCUUUGCACAUCAACUUCAAUUGGUUCUUAUUGCCGUGGCAAAGGGAAAUGAACCAUGUAAAUGGUUUUUUGAUCAUGUUUCUUACUUGCUGAAUAUUGUUGGAGUUUCUUGCAAGCGUCAUGACAUGCUUCGAGAUGUUAGAGCUCAAAAGGUUCUGGAAGCACUUGAAAUGGGUGAAAUUGAAAGUGGAAGUGGGUUAAAUCAAGAGAUGGGAUUAGCUAGACCUGGUGAUACUCGGUGGGGUUCUCAUUUUCGAACCAUUCUGCACAUUAUUACCAUGUACCCCACAAUACUAGAAGUACUUGAUACUAUUGGAAAAGAUCCUUCACAAAGUGGUGAGUGGACAAGAAUACGUGCAGUGGCUUUUGCCUUGGAGUCAUAUGACUUUGUUUUCAAUCUUCACGUGAUGCUUGUUAUUCUUAGCCACACUAAUGAGUUGUCUCAGUCAUUGCAAAAGAGAGAUCAAGAUAUUGUUAAUGCAAUGGCACUUGUUAGUUUGGCAAAGAAUAAAAUGCGACAUAUGAGGUCUCAUGGCUGGGAAGAAUUUCUUGCAAAGGUGACAUUGUUUUGCAACAAACAUGGCAUUGAAGUUCCUACACCAGAGGAUAAUUAUGUGCCUCAUGGAAGAUCACCUCGGUAUUAUCAAGUGCAAACAAAUGAUGAUCGUUAUAGAAGAAGUAUAUCUUGGUAUCCUUGA